This 253-nucleotide ribosomal RNA is filed under the name uncultured bacterium. Its description in RNAcentral is "partial 16S ribosomal RNA". It matches the Rfam family "Bacterial small subunit ribosomal RNA", at positions 524 to 776 of the family's 1533-position model. The record is from RNAcentral.
UACAGAGACUGCAAGCGUUAUUCGGAUUCACUGGGCGUAAAGGGUGCGCAGGCGGCCAUGUGUGUUGGGCGUGAAAGCCCGGGGCUUAACCCCGGAAUUGCACUCAAAACUACAUGGCUAGAGCAUUGGAGAGGGUAGCAGAAUUCACGGUGUAGCAGUGAAAUGCGUCGAUAUCGUGAGGAAUACCAGAGGCGAAGGCGGUUGCCUGGAGCUUUGCUGACGCUGAUGCGCGAAAGCGUGGGGAGCGAUCCGG